GUAGCAUAAUCAUUAGGUUUUUAAUUGGAAUCUUGUAUGAAUGAUUGGACAAGAGAGGUACUGUCUUUGUAUUGAAACUUGAAUUUAACUUUUAAGUGAAAAGGCUUAAAUAUACUAAAGGGACGAUAAGACCCUAUAAAACUUUACAUUUAUGUUAAAUUUUAUGGAAUUUGAAAUUAUAAUUAUUAAGUUUAAUUUUUUGUUAUGUUGGGGAGACAAAAGCUAUAAUUAUGUAUAACUGCUUUUAAAAGAAACAAAAAUAAAUGGGGAGAGUUAAAGAUCCUUUAUUGAGAUUGUAAGAUUAAGUUACUUUAGGGAUAACAGCGUUAUUUUUUUUGAGAGUUCAUAUUGAAAAAAAAGAUUGCGACCUCGAUGUUGAAUUAAAAUAUCUUU
RNAcentral lists this ribosomal RNA (393 nucleotides) under Potamonautes perlatus. RNAcentral's name for it is "partial 16S ribosomal RNA". Lineage: Eukaryota; Metazoa; Arthropoda; Malacostraca; Decapoda; Potamonautidae. The record is from RNAcentral.